UGGGGAAUAUUGGACAAUGGGGGGAACCCUGAUCCAGCCAUGCCGCGUGUGUGAAGAAGGCUUUAUGGUUGUAAAGCACUUUAAGCGAGGAGGAGGGUACUGGUAUUAAUACUACCAGCUACUGGACGUUACUCGCAGAAUAAGCACCGGCUAACUCUGUGCCAGCAGCCGCGGUAAUACAGAGGGUGCGAGCGUUAAUCGGAUUUACUGGGCGUAAAGCGUGCGUAGGCGGCUAAUUGAGUCGGAUGGGAAAUCCCCGAGCUUAACUUGGGAAUUGCAUUCGAUACUGGUUAGCUAGAGUGUGGGAGAGGAUGGUAGAAUUCCAGGUGUAGCGGUGAAAUGCGUAGAGAUCUGGAGGAAUACCGAUGGCGAAGGCAGCCAUCUGGCCUAACACUGACGCUGAGGUACGAAAGCAUGGGGAGCAAACAGG
Molecule: ribosomal RNA, 430 nt
Filed under: Pseudomonadota bacterium
Lineage: Bacteria; Pseudomonadati; Pseudomonadota
Description: Proteobacteria bacterium partial 16S ribosomal RNA
Rfam family: Bacterial small subunit ribosomal RNA
Source: RNAcentral